AGCGAACGCUGGCGGCAGGCUUAACACAUGCAAGUCGAGCGGUCGUAGCAAUACGGCAGCGGCAGACGGGAGAGUAACACGUGGGAACGUACCCUUCAGUGCGGAACAACCAAGGGAAACUUUGGCUAAUACCGCAUACGCCCGAAAGGGGAAAGAUUUAUCGCUGAAGGAUCGGCCCGCGUCUGAUUAGCUAGUUGGUGAGGUAACGGCUCACCAAGGCGACGAUCAGUAGCUGGUCUGAGAGGAUGAUCAGCCUCACUGGGACUGAGACACGGCCCAGACUCCUACGGGUGGCAG
This 297-nucleotide ribosomal RNA is filed under the name uncultured Pseudomonadota bacterium. RNAcentral describes it as "uncultured proteobacterium partial 16S ribosomal RNA". It matches the Rfam family "Bacterial small subunit ribosomal RNA", at positions 29 to 351 of the family's 1533-position model. The record is from RNAcentral. Lineage: Bacteria; Pseudomonadati; Pseudomonadota.